This is a long non-coding RNA of Oryzias latipes (Japanese medaka), 732 nucleotides long. RefSeq lists it as uncharacterized. NCBI's taxonomy places the organism in Eukaryota, Metazoa, Chordata, Actinopteri, Beloniformes, Adrianichthyidae. The record is from RefSeq and is a predicted model, not a curated record.
CCCAAACUAGAGUUAGACUGAAACAACUUCUCUGCAAUUUGAUUUUCACAUAUGCUUCUGUUAUUCAAACGUCCUCAUUCAUUUAUGCAGCUUUCUGAAGGGCUCUGAGCGGCAAAGUUGGCUUUCAUUGGUUUUGAAGCCCCAAACGCAGCUAAAAGCAGGCCGAAUGCUGUUCAAGGCCACACAGCUUCUGGAGUUACCAGCAGAGAGAAACGAGGUGCAAGAAUGGAAGGGAAGGAGAAGCAGUCCCUGGACUACAGACCACAGGAGAGCAGCUCGAGAGCGAACUGUCUGUCAUCAAGCUGUUAAUGUUCCCGUGAUGCCAAGUUCUGAGGAAGCAGAUGGACCAAAAGAGCAACAAGGAGAAAGCAAAGAGGCCUCAUGACAUCUGAAUGUACAGCACACGCUGCGUGAAAGCCAAACACGCAGCUGAACGACCGGACUCAACUUCCCCUCCUCCUUCACAACACCAACAAGCGACAAUAAAAACUCUUAUUUUGUUUUAAUUAAAAAUGUUUACCUUAUUAGUUUAAUAUUCCAUAGACUGAUCAUAAGUUUGAAGGUGAACGUGGAGACUAAAUACACGGCUUUUCCUAAUCGUUUUUUGCUCUUUAUUCAAACAGCAGAGACAUCAAACAUUUGCCAUAAUUUAUUAACAAGCCACAAAAAGUACAAAAACAUCUCAUCCUAAUUGUACACCUAACUGGCAUUUGAAUAAACUUUUGAAGAGUA